UCUGGAAACUGUNUGACUUGAGUGCAGAAGGGGAGAGUGGAAUUCCAUGUGUAGCGGUGAAAUGCGUAGAUAUAUGGAGGAACACCAGUGGCGAAAGCGGCUCUCUGGUCUGUCACUGACGCUGAGGCUCGAAAGCGUGGGUAGCGAACAGGAUUAGAUACCCUGGUAGUNCACGCCGUAAACGAUGAGUGCUAGGUGUUAGGCCCUUUCCGGGGCUUAGUGCCGGAGCUAACGCAAUAAGCACUCCGCCUGGGGAGUACGACCGCAAGGUUGAAACUCAAAGGAAUUGACGGGGGCCCGCACAAGCGGUGGAGCAUGUGGUUUAAUUCGAAGCAACGCGAAGAACCUUACCAGGUCUUGACAUCCCGAUGCUAUUCUUAGAGAUAGGAAGUUACUUCGGUACAUCGGAGACAGGUGGUGCAUGGUUGUCGUCAGCUCGUGUCGUGAGAUGUUGGGUUAAGUCCCGCAACGAGCGCAACCCUUAUUGUUAGUUGCCAUCAUUAAGUUGGGCACUCUAGCGAGACUGCCGGUAAUAAACCGGAGGAAGGUGGGGAUGACGUCAAAUCAUCAUGCCCCUUAUGACCUGGGCUACACACGUGCUACAAUGGUCGGUACAACGAGUUGCGAGCCGGUGACGGCAAGCUAAUCUCUGAAAGCCGAUCUCAGUUCGGAUUGGAGGCUGCAACUCGCCUCCAUGAAGUCGGAAUCGCUAGUAAUCGCGGAUCAGCACGCCGCGGUGAAUACGUUCCCGGGCCUUGUACACACCGCCCGUCACACCACGAGAGUUUGUAACACCCGAAGUCGGUGAGGUAACCUUUUAGGGNCCAGCCGCC
This 833-nucleotide ribosomal RNA is filed under the name uncultured bacterium. RNAcentral's name for it is "bacterial SSU rRNA". It matches the Rfam family "Bacterial small subunit ribosomal RNA", at positions 625 to 1457 of the family's 1533-position model. The record is from RNAcentral.